Molecule: long non-coding RNA, 588 nt
Filed under: Olea europaea (common olive)
Lineage: Eukaryota; Viridiplantae; Streptophyta; Magnoliopsida; Lamiales; Oleaceae
Description: long non-coding RNA (OEUR_LNC004839)
Source: RNAcentral
GAAGAGAACACAAUCAAAAUAUUGUAUCCGAUUACUCAAAUGAUUGGCCAAAGGUCAGUUAAACCGACUUAUUUUAAUAACCAAUUUCCAAGUAAACAUGCAUGGUUUCAAUCUAACCCUUUUCUUAAUUCUUCCUAAUUAUUGAUUUUGUUAAUUCUUUUGCUUGGUCUGGGGGUGGCUCUUCUCCAUUGGGAAGCAUAUCCAUAAACAAAGAUCCAUCUGUAGCUUCUCCAAUCUUCCUCGUUGCAUGAAAUUCUGCAGUCAGUUUCUCUCUCUCUUUAGUAUUGUCUCUUGCGGUGGUCGGGAUAUCUUGUUCAUUCUUGUCUGAAAAUAGGACGUUCUCUUCUCCCGGGAAGGCUCCGUUGAUGGUUCUGCAGGUGGCUGGUGAAAGUUGGCAAAUGAAGAAGCAAAUCAGCAGAAUAGCAGCAGUGAACUGGGAAUUUUUUAGGCUUUGUUUGGCCAUUAUAGAGAAAUCUUUAAAAGAAAGAAAUUCAAGAAAGAUUAUCACAAAAGGCUCUUUUUUCUGAUGUAGAGGUAGAAAGGGUUGAGGAUUUAUAUAGAGAAGAGAAGAAAUGGGGUGCCAUUGCC